AAAGCGGGGGAGCCUCCGCGCUCCCUUGGGAGGAUGGCGGUCGCGGCGACUCGUCGCCGUGGCGCCCGCACUCCCGGGGCGCCUCGGCCUCCUGGCCGAGGCGCACCCGGAGCGUACACGUUGGGACCCGAAAGAUGGUGAACUAUGCCUGGUCAGGACGAAGUCAGGGGAAACCCUGAUGGAGGUCCGCAGCGAUUCUGACGUGCAAAUCGAUCGUCAGAGCUGGGUAUAGGGGCGAAAGACUAAUCGAACCAUCUAGUAGCUGGUUCCCUCCGAAGUUUCCCUCAGGAUAGCUGGCGUCCAUUUCGACCGGGACGAGUCUCAUCCGGUAAAGCGAAUGAUUAGAGGCCUUGGGGCCGAAACGACCUCAACCUAUUCUCAAACUUUAAAUGGGUGAGAUCU
Molecule: ribosomal RNA, 402 nt
Filed under: Megazosteria aff. patula W16
Lineage: Eukaryota; Metazoa; Arthropoda; Insecta; Blattodea; Blattidae
Description: partial large subunit ribosomal RNA
Rfam family: Eukaryotic large subunit ribosomal RNA
Source: RNAcentral